RNAcentral lists this ribosomal RNA (639 nucleotides) under Bacillus sp. (in: firmicutes). RNAcentral's name for it is "bacterial SSU rRNA". It matches the Rfam family "Bacterial small subunit ribosomal RNA", at positions 54 to 676 of the family's 1533-position model. The record is from RNAcentral. Lineage: Bacteria; Bacillati; Bacillota; Bacilli; Caryophanales; Bacillaceae.
CAUGCAAGUCGAGCGGACAGAUGGGAGCUUGCUCCCUGAUGUUAGCGGCGGACGGGUGAGUAACACGUGGGUAACCUGCCUGUAAGACUGGGAUAACUCCGGGAAACCGGGGCUAAUACCGGAUGCUUGUUUGAACCGCAGGUUCAGACAUAAAAGGUGGCUUCGGCUACCACUUACAGAUGGACCCGCGGCGCAUUAGCUAGUUGGUGAGGUAACGGCUCACCAAGGCGACGAUGCGUAGCCGACCUGAGAGGGUGAUCGGCCACACUGGGACUGAGACACGGCCCAGACUCCUACGGGAGGCAGCAGUAGGGAAUCUUCCGCAAUGGACGAAAGUCUGACGGAGCAACGCCGCGUGAGUGAUGAAGGUUUUCGGAUCGUAAAGCUCUGUUGUUAGGGAAGAACAAGUGCCGUUCAAAUAGGGCGGCACCUUGACGGUACCUAACCAGAAAGCCACGGCUAACUACGUGCCAGCAGCCGCGGUAAUACGUAGGUGGCAAGCGUUGUCCGGAAUUAUUGGGCGUAAAGGGCUCGCAGGCGGUUUCUUAAGUCUGAUGUGAAAGCCCCCGGCUCAACCGGGGAGGGUCAUUGGAAACUGGGGAACUUGAGUGCAGAAGAGGAGAGUGGAAUUCCACGUGU